CCCUUAGAUGUCCUGGGCCGCACGCGCGUUACACUGAUGCAUUCAACGAGCUUAUAACCUUGGCCGAGAGGCCUGGGCAAUCUUGUUAACGUGCAUCGCGAUAGGGAUAGAUUAUUGAAAUUAUUAAUCUUGAACGAGGAAUUCCUAGUAAACGCAGAUCAUCAAUCUGCAUUGAUUACGUCCCUGCCCUUUGUACACACCGCCCGUCGCACCUACCGAUUGAAUGGUCCGGUGAAAAUUUCGGACAGUGACGAUGCUGGCGGUCCGCCGCCGGCGCUGUCGCUGGAAGAUCUUUAAACCUUAUCAUUUAGAGGAAGGAGAAGUCGUAACA
RNAcentral lists this ribosomal RNA (331 nucleotides) under uncultured eukaryote. RNAcentral's name for it is "partial 18S ribosomal RNA". It matches the Rfam family "Eukaryotic small subunit ribosomal RNA", at positions 1470 to 1796 of the family's 1831-position model. The record is from RNAcentral.